CCUACGGGGGGGGCUGCAGUAGGGAAUCUUCCGCAAUGGACGAAAGUCUGACGGAGCAACGCCGCGUGAACGAAGAAGGCCUUCGGGUCGUAAAGUUCUGUUGUUAGGGAAGAACAAGUACCAGAGUAACUGCUGGUACCUUGACGGUACCUAACCAGAAAGCCACGGCUAACUACGUGCCAGCAGCCGCGGUAAUACGUAGGUGGCAAGCGUUGUCCGGAAUUAUUGGGCGUAAAGCGCGCGCAGGUGGUUCCUUAAGUCUGAUGUGAAAGCCCACGGCUCAACCGUGGAGGGUCAUUGGAAACUGGGGAACUUGAGUGCAGAAGAGGAAAGUGGAAUUCCAAGUGUAGCGGUGAAAUGCGUAGAGAUUUGGAGGAACACCAGUGGCGAAGGCGACUUUCUGGUCUGUAACUGACACUGAGGCGCGAAAGCGUGGGGAGCAAACAGGAUUAGAUACCCCUAGUAGUCA
This 469-nucleotide ribosomal RNA is filed under the name Peribacillus simplex. Its description in RNAcentral is "bacterial SSU rRNA". It matches the Rfam family "Bacterial small subunit ribosomal RNA", at positions 338 to 796 of the family's 1533-position model. Lineage: Bacteria; Bacillati; Bacillota; Bacilli; Caryophanales; Bacillaceae. The record is from RNAcentral.